Molecule: non-coding RNA, 1997 nt
Organism: Schizosaccharomyces pombe (fission yeast)
Lineage: Eukaryota; Fungi; Ascomycota; Schizosaccharomycetes; Schizosaccharomycetales; Schizosaccharomycetaceae
Source: the annotation of a GenBank genome assembly
UUUGCGGCGAGAAGAGCAAUCAAGAUAAUCCAAGGGUAUUUGACCCACGGAAUUCACAGGAAAAUUUAAACCGACAAGGUAAGACAUUAAAGCUGCAAUAUCUGCUUGUUGUAUAUCAAUACGUUUUAUCUCCGUCAAAUUCCAUGGCAAAGAAUACUCGUCAUGCCCAUAAUUCUUCUCAUGAGUAGGACUUUGAAUACCAGCACCCCAGGCAAUGAUGGGAGUACGUGUAUUAUCAAGGUUGCCAUCACCAUGACUUCCAAAGUCACUCAUACCAUGGUCUGCUGUAAAAACCCAGCUAGAGGCUCCGUCGUUAUUGUAGUAGUUGUUCAUCUUAUCAACGAGUUCUUGAAUUUUUCCAUCUAUAUACUGUAUGUUUUCGACAUAUUCAACUGAGUCAGGGUGUUUAUUAUGGCCAAUUGUGUCAAUGCCCAGUAAAUGAAGGAAGAAUACUAUUUUAUCCCGAUGCAACAUAUCCCAAAGUUCCUUAUCCUCUAAAGACUGAGCGAGAAGUUCAUCUAGCCUAUCAAAAACCCAUUCGUCAAGAACAAUUCCGUUGCUAGAGAAAUCCUCCAAUUCAGAAGAAUACAUGAAUGUAUCAACUCGAGAUGGAUCAGAUGCACCUUCACUAAACAUAGGCAAAAUAUCUUCGGAUCCAAACGAAUAAGUAUGCCGACUCUGAUUAAACACAGAAUCGAAAUUUACUGGAUUUUUUUUCCAGCCUUUUGUGACGGCUGAAACAUCUUCGUAAAAACCAGCUAUUAGAGCAACAUGUCCGGGGCGUGACUCGGUGGGAACACGAGUAUGAGAAACACCGAAAGUACCGUUAUUCUGAAUAAUUGAUCUUAAAAAUGGAGCGGCAUAUGUCUGCUCUUCUCCAAUGACCUUUUCGGAAUGUGGUUGUAAUAGUUUAUCAGGACGUAGUCCAUCGCCUAUAAGCAUAUUGGUUAGUAAAAUAAGAAAAAGAAGGACAAGAAAAAAGUUGUACUAUUUCUUGUUUUUUUUUCUAAAUCCAAAACGAAAAUAUGACAUUUUUUUCAUUAAGCUCUAUACACUAAUUUCACUAUUACAAAUGUUUACUUACCAACAAUUAGAAAUAGGCGUUUAGCAGGAGCUUCGCCUGCAGAAUACUGCUUCAUGCCAUGUAUUAGAGGAGUUACGAAAUAGAUAUCAAAAAUGGAUUUGAGAAAGACGACAUGGAAUAAAAUCCCUAACAGCAAGAGGCGACCAAACAUUGCGAAAAUUUAAGCGUGAAACCACUACCACAAUUGACUGGGAAUACUAGGGGUUUUUGGCAAAAAUUGGAUAGAUGCCAGGACGCUUCUUGGAAAAGAAGGAUGCCCUAAACAAGGCAAGAAGUGUUUUGUUCUGGUGAAGUGCGUUUGAGUGUUGAGUCGUUACAAACAUCAACAGAAGUCCCCUUUAAUCUACCAUUGGUUAAAAUUCAGAUGAUCUACGCUCGAUCUAAUGAAUAAGCGAACGCUAAUGAAUGUAUACUGAGUUUUGUAAUUAAGGAUGCCGUGUUUGAAUGCACUAAUGAAUAGUGGUAGCGCUCCAUCGUAUAUUGUGAGCUAUGGCCAAUAUGCGUAAUUAGUUCUAGCUGGAUGAAAGAGUAAAUAAUCAGAAAUCUAUUAAGGAAGUGAUAAAUUACUUUAUGGUAUGCAGUGCACAAUAAUGGGACUUAUAGUCAUCUGGUAAUUAAGCAAAAAAUGAUUCUGUAAAUGGAUAUUUUCGGUAUUAUUUUAAUUUCCGUUGACAGAAAUGUAAAAUGGAUGGUUAUCAUUUCAUUGCUCAAAUCCAAGAUUAAUGAAAAUUCAGCGGUAAGCAUAUUUGGUUGUUACACGUUGAGAGUCGGUUUACUCAUGACGAUUAUAAUAAGAUAAAGGGAUACAACCAUCAAAUUGCUGCUACAUGGCCAAUAAUAAAAAAAUCAUUUGCAAUACGAAAGGAAACGAAUUCAUUUAUUAUAACAUGCAGAAGUAAUAACUUCCUGCGAC